RNAcentral lists this unclassified non-coding RNA (444 nucleotides) under Fraxinus xanthoxyloides. RNAcentral describes it as "partial external transcribed spacer". Lineage: Eukaryota; Viridiplantae; Streptophyta; Magnoliopsida; Lamiales; Oleaceae. The record is from RNAcentral.
GGCUUGUGUGGGUAUGUUGGAUCCCUGCCGCGGCAGCGACAACAUCCUCUUCUUGCCCGUUCAUUGGAUGAUCGAAUCUCGCAAUUCGUCAUCUCGCUCUCGGUUCCCUGUGUUGCAUACCUCCCGCGACGGUAUCUUGUUGCCUAGAAUUGCCCCUUUUCGCCCGACGCCGCGAGUGAGAUCGCGGUCGAAGGCGAACCGAAAAGCACUCGUCGCGUUCCACCCCGUUCGCACCACGUGCUGCGGGACUCGGCCCMCGACGACGUGCUCGAAUUCUCGGAUGCGGAACACGCRGCGGGUACGAGGACGCGGAUCCUCCGUCUACCCCCGAACAAGCGUUCUACGCUACGUGCGAACGACGUUCCUCCUCGUCCUGGGCUUCCGUCCAAACGAGGUCGACGUCGCGGAGGAAUGCUACCUGGUUGAUCCUGCCAGUAGUCAUAU